RNAcentral lists this ribosomal RNA (396 nucleotides) under uncultured bacterium. Its description in RNAcentral is "bacterial SSU rRNA". It matches the Rfam family "Bacterial small subunit ribosomal RNA", at positions 358 to 770 of the family's 1533-position model. The record is from RNAcentral.
GGGAUAUUGCGCAAUGGAGGGAACUCUGACGCAGCGACGCCGCGUGGGUGAUGAAGGUUUUCGAAUCGUAAAGCCCUUUUCUGCGUGACGAUGAUGACGGUAGCGCAGGAAAAAGUGUCGGCUAACUACGUGCCAGCAGCCGCGGUAAAACGUAGGACGCAAACGUUAUCCGGAAUUACUGGGCGUAAAGGGCGCGCAGGCGGGUUGGUAAGUGAGGCAUGAAAGCUCCCUGGCUAAACCGGGAGAGGAUGUCUGAGACUGCCAGCCUGAAGUGAGGUAGAGGGGUGUGGAAUUCCGCGUGUAGUGGUGGAAUGCGUAGAGAUGCGGAGGAACACCAGUGGCGAAGGCGGCACCCUGGACCUUAACUGACGCUGAGGCGCGAAAGCAUGGGGAGCG